GGGGUCAUUUCUGAGUGCGUUGGGCCGCAACUGGCAUCCGGAACAUUUCAACUGUGCUGGAUGUAGGAAAUCUCUGCAGAAUAAAGGCUUCGUUGAAGAGUCAGAUAAUCUGUAUUGUGAAAAUUGUUAUGAUAUGAAGUUCGCGCCACAUUGUGAUGUCUGUAAUGAAGCUAUUGUUGGGGUAAGUCUUUAUCGUACCGUGUGCAUUCUAAUAGACGCCCAAUGUCUAAUAAUCGCCCGCUUCGUGUCGGAAAUUUCUUUCUUUCUUAAUUAGUACCAGGGGCGUAGGAAUCUUUAUAAACUUAUGGGGGGGUAGCGGGCAAUUCCGAGAGGCGCCACCUCAUCGGAUAUGGAAUUUUCAGAGUCUCCUUCAACUCUUUCGUUUGGCCAUUUCAUUAAUUAUUUCAUGAUUUCAUAUGGAGUAUUAUUAGUCGGCCGGCCAAGGUAGCAAAAAGUACCUCUAAAGAGAGUUUGAUGGCAACUUUAUGUUAGAAGCUGGCCAUGGUAACAGGCAUUUUCUUAUAGUUUAAGCCUUGGUGAAUAAGACUGUUUGUGUUACCACUUCUGAUUUUUGCUUUAUAGCCAAAAAAUUGAGAAUUUUAAAAUUUUGCCUAUUAAAUUACUAUGAUGGCAAAAAAUGUAAAAUUUCAUGUUCUCUUAUACAAAAAAUAAACUAUACCACUAGAAAGAGCUCAAAAAACUAUAUAUAAGAUAACUAAGCGACUAGUGCGAUUUUCAAGCCGAUUUUGAAUUAAAGAUUGUUAAAGUUGGCAAAAUGGGUACUAAUUAGCAUUAAUUUGGUCAUUUCUGCAUUUUUUAACAUUAAAAACUCGAAAUAGGAUUGGACAAACGUAGAACUCACUUAAUUGUCUUGUAUAUAGUUUUUUACGCUCUUUCUAAUGGUAUAGUUUAUUUUUCGUAUAAGAGAAAAUGAAAUUUUACAUUUUUUCCGAUCAUAGUAAUUUAAUAGGCAAAAUUUAAAAAUUCUCAAAUUUUUGGCUAUAAAGCUAAAAUCAGAAGUGGUAACACAUAUAGUCUUGUUCACCAAGGCUUGAACUAUAAGAAAAUGCCUGUUACCAGCUUCUAACAUAAAGUUGCCAUCCAGUUGAACAAAUUGAUCACUUGGCCGGCCGUCUAUAUUAUUAAUUGGCCGAUCAACACAAAUUUUAGAUAAAAUUCAAUUACAAGCUAGCUAAUCUUAUCGCAAUUUCUGAUUAUUUCUUUAUUCUAUUGAUUCUAAUAGACGUCUGCAAUCUAAUGAGUUUUAUACUAAGGUAAAAACAUACCUGC
Non-coding RNA from Paramuricea clavata, 1290 nucleotides. The record is from the annotation of a GenBank genome assembly. NCBI's taxonomy places the organism in Eukaryota, Metazoa, Cnidaria, Anthozoa, Malacalcyonacea, Plexauridae.